UGUCCCGUAGCUCAGUUGGUAGAGAGGGUGCAGAGCACUGGAAGUGAGUUCCUUUGCUCCGCUUAGCCGGUCGCUGGUUCGAAUCCAGCCGGGACGA
RNAcentral lists this transfer RNA (97 nucleotides) under Paraburkholderia phenazinium. Its description in RNAcentral is "tRNA_Pro_TGG". It matches the Rfam family "tRNA". Rfam says of the family: Transfer RNA (tRNA) molecules are approximately 80 nucleotides in length. Lineage: Bacteria; Pseudomonadati; Pseudomonadota; Betaproteobacteria; Burkholderiales; Burkholderiaceae. The record is from RNAcentral.